AUUUGGUAAAGCCUCUU
RNAcentral lists this small RNA (17 nucleotides) under Arabidopsis thaliana (thale cress). Its description in RNAcentral is "ATSL113760". Lineage: Eukaryota; Viridiplantae; Streptophyta; Magnoliopsida; Brassicales; Brassicaceae. The record is from RNAcentral.